UCAAUGGAGAGUUUGAUCCUGGCUCAGGACGAACGCUGGCGGCGUGCUUAACACAUGCAAGUCGAACGGUGACGAUGGGAGCUUGCUCCUGUCUGAUCAGUGGCGAACGGGUGAGUAACACGUGAGUAACCUGCCCCGGACUCUGGAAUAACCCCGGGAAACCGGAGCUAAUACCGGAUAUGACACCAACCUGCAUGGGUAUGGUGUGGAAAGUUUUUCGGUCUGGGAUGGACUCGCGGCCUAUCAGCUUGUUGGUGAGGUAAUGGCUCACCAAGGCGACGACGGGUAGCCGGCCUGAGAGGGCGACCGGCCACACUGGGACUGAGACACGGCCCAGACUCCUACGGGAGGCAGCAGUGGGGAAUAUUGCACAAUGGGCGAAAGCCUGAUGCAGCGACGCCGCGUGAGGGAUGACGGCCUUCGGGUUGUAAACCUCUUUCAGCAGGGAAGAAGCGCAAGUGACGGUACCUGCAGAAGAAGCACCGGCUAACUACGUGCCAGCAGCCGCGGUAAUACGUAGGGUGCGAGCGUUGUCCGGAAUUAUUGGGCGUAAAGAGCUUGUAGGCGGUUUGUCGCGUCUGCCGUGAAAAUUCGAGGCUCAACCUCGAACUUGCGGUGGGUACGGGCAGACUAGAGUGUGGUAGGGGAGACUGGAAUUCCUGGUGUAGCGGUGAAAUGCGCAGAUAUCAGGAGGAA
This 696-nucleotide ribosomal RNA is filed under the name Salmonella enterica. Its description in RNAcentral is "bacterial SSU rRNA". It matches the Rfam family "Bacterial small subunit ribosomal RNA", at positions 1 to 706 of the family's 1533-position model. Lineage: Bacteria; Pseudomonadati; Pseudomonadota; Gammaproteobacteria; Enterobacterales; Enterobacteriaceae. The record is from RNAcentral.